UAGGGAAUCUUCCGCAAUGGACGCAAGUCUGACGGAGCAACGCCGCGUGAGUGAAGAAGGAUUUCGGUUCGUAAAACUCUGUUGUUAGAGAAGAACAGCGCAUAGAGUAACUGUUAUGCGUGUGACGGUACCUAAUCAGAAAGCCACGGCUAACUACGUGCCAGCAGCCGCGGUAAUACGUAGGUGGCAAGCGUUAUCCGGAAUUAUUGGGCGUAAAGCGCGCGUAGGCGGUUUUUUAAGUCUGAUGUGAAAGCCCACGGCUCAACCGUGGAGGGUCAUUGGAAACUGGAAAACUUGAGUGCAGAAGAGGAAAGUGGAAUUCCAUGUGUAGCGGUGAAAUGCGCAGAGAUAUGGAGGAACACCAGUGGCGAAGGCGACUUUCUGGUCUGUAACUGACGCUGAUGUGCGAAAGCGUGGGGAUCAAACAGG
Molecule: ribosomal RNA, 429 nt
Filed under: Bacteroidota bacterium
Lineage: Bacteria; Pseudomonadati; Bacteroidota
Description: Bacteroidetes bacterium partial 16S ribosomal RNA
Rfam family: Bacterial small subunit ribosomal RNA
Source: RNAcentral